RNAcentral lists this microRNA (21 nucleotides) under Phytophthora ramorum (sudden oak death agent). Its description in RNAcentral is "pra-miR8788b-5p". The record is from miRBase by way of RNAcentral. Lineage: Eukaryota; Oomycota; Peronosporomycetes; Peronosporales; Peronosporaceae.
CUACCAAGCGUACCAACGCCG